Molecule: ribosomal RNA, 460 nt
Filed under: uncultured bacterium
Lineage: Bacteria
Description: partial 16S ribosomal RNA
Rfam family: Bacterial small subunit ribosomal RNA
Source: RNAcentral
CCUACGGGAGGCAGCAGUGAGGAAUAUUGGUCAAUGGACGAGAGUCUGAACCAGCCAAGUAGCGUGAAGGAUGACUGCCCUAUGGGUUGUAAACUUCUUUUAUAAAGGAAUAAAACGAGGCACGUGUGCCUUUUUGCAUGUACGUUAUGAAUAAGGAUCGGCUAACUCCGUGCCAGCAGCCGCGGUAAUACGGAGGAUCCGAGCGUUAUCCGGAUUUAUUGGGUUUAAAGGGAGCGUAGAUGGGUUGUUAAGUCAGUUGUGAAAUUUUGCGGCUCAACCGUAAAAUUGCAAUUGAUACUGGCAGUCUUGAGUACAGUUGAGGUAGGCGGAAUUCGUGGUGUAGCGGUGAAAUGCUUAGAUAUCACGAAGAACCCCGAUUGCGAAGGCAGCUUACUAAACUGUGACUGACAUUGAUGCUCGAAAGUGUGGGUAUCAAACAGGAUUAGAUACCCCUGUAGUC